This 355-nucleotide ribosomal RNA is filed under the name uncultured soil bacterium. RNAcentral describes it as "bacterial SSU rRNA". It matches the Rfam family "Bacterial small subunit ribosomal RNA", at positions 26 to 386 of the family's 1533-position model. The record is from RNAcentral.
AGAUUGAACGCUGGCGGCAUGCUUUACACAUGCAAGUCGAACGGUAACAGGCCGCAAGGUGCUGACGAGUGGCGAACGGGUGAGUAAUGUAUCGGAACGUGCCCAGUCGUGGGGGAUAACGCAGCGAAAGCUGCGCUAAUACCGCAUACGAUCUAUGGAUGAAAGCGGGGGACCUAAGGCCUCGCGCGAUUGGAGCGGCCGAUAUCAGAUUAGGUAGUUGGUGGGUAAAGCUCACCAAGCCAACGAUCUGUAGCUGGUCUGAGAGGACGACCAGCCGACACGUGGGACUGAGACACGGCCCAGACUCCGUACGGGAGCAGCAGGUGGGAAUUUGGACAAGUGGGCGCAAGCCUGA